This 1616-nucleotide unclassified non-coding RNA is filed under the name Harpegnathos saltator (Jerdon's jumping ant). RNAcentral describes it as "uncharacterized LOC105186867, transcript variant X3". The record is from RNAcentral. Lineage: Eukaryota; Metazoa; Arthropoda; Insecta; Hymenoptera; Formicidae.
AUUCUCUUUUCGUUAUGUCGACUUUUAUGUCGAUGUCACGCAAGAUAACCUCCGACACGGUUGCAACUUGGCCUUAUGUUUUAUCAUUAUACGAUAUACAUAAAUACCGUACAUCGCAAUAUUGACAGCAGUCUAUAGCUGGCCGAGUGCGAAAUAUUAAUCGAUGAUCGGAAACCAUUAUAGUGGAAAAGGAAGCGACUCGUGAACCGAAACAUGAAAGGACCGAUUUUGCUUCUCUUCACUAUUGUCGCUGCCACAAUGAGCUUCGACAUAAAUUACAUACACAAUAUAAUAUCUAUUACCAAUCUGACCAUGGAAGAGUUUCUGUCAUGCAUCAACAAGACACAUAUAAGAUUUGAGGAUAUAAUGCACGUUGAUGCAAUUAUCGAAGAUAAUCUGGAGAUUGAUUUCGAUGACGUGGCUCUUAAAGUUGGUUGCCUGUUCAACUGCAUAUUCGAAAAGAAGGAAAUAAUGACGGGUGCGCAUAUAAAUGUGAACAAGAUAAAGGAGAUAAUGCGUACCAUAAUUGGUGAGGAAGAACAUAACUUAAAGAUACUUGACCCACAUUUCCAAAUACUGGACACUUGUAGCAAUUGGGUUAAAAGUAUAAUUAACAAGUGCGAAGUAAGUCUCAAAUUUAUGACAUGCGGAGCACAUAAAUCGCAAAGAUAUUAAAUUACAUCAAUUUCUAAAAUAUGGACGACUAUCAAACUAUCAUCCUUGCGAACAAUUAGUUGGUAACCUAAAUCUAUCACGGAAAAGGAAGUGAUUCCUAAAUUAAAAUAUGAAAGGAACGUUCCUGCUCCUCUUCACGCCCAUCAUUGCGGCGCAGAGAUCGUCGCAACCAUGAUCAUGAAACUCGAAUCGAAUUCAACCGUUACAAAUAUCAUGUCAAUCACAAGCAUCAAUGUAUAAAGAUCGAUUGAUAUAGAAUAACUGUCAUACAAAAAUAAAGUUACAGGAGGAAGAGACGCAGGGACAACAAUAUGAGGCGACUAAUGUUAUUAUUAAGAAUCACGAACAGUAGUAGUAUUGAUCGCGACAGGAUGCGGGCGAGCUACAUAAUAUUAUUUAAAAAUAAAAUUUUAUCCAAAAUGUUAUUUAAAAAUAAAAUCAAACAUGCAUGUGCAAUCUUGAAAUCGCAGCUAUCGUAUCAGUACACGUGAGUCUCUGAGACUCAUAACGUGUGUUUCAUAUAAUAAGUUCGUCUGUAUUAUAAGAGAUAUACUUUUAUAGAACUUUCUUGCAUCUUAAAUCUGUGUUUGAUAAAAAGAUGAUAAUAAAAAUAAUCAUUCAAAGACAUAUUAAUCCUUCGACUUAACAUGAUGUUCAAAGACAUAUUAAUCCUUCGACUUAACAUGAUGAACCCAAACUAGAACUUGGACUUGAAAAUAGUAACACAUGUAUGCACAUAUGUAAAGAAGUAUGUGUAACUCAGUAAUUGUUUACAAUAUUGUUUUACCAAUAUUUGAUUUAUAAAACCACGUAUUUGUUAAAAAGACUCUUUCAGGCAAUUUUACAGAUAAAAUUAGACGCUAGUGCAUUCAAAUUCUCUUAAUUUCAUUUUUGUCUGACGAUGUAUUCACGCGAGUAGAAACACUAUUUGCCGGGGCUCG